Molecule: non-coding RNA, 29 nt
Filed under: Mus musculus (house mouse)
Lineage: Eukaryota; Metazoa; Chordata; Mammalia; Rodentia; Muridae
Source: RNAcentral
UACGUCAUAUUCUGUGUGUUCAUGUGUGA